RNAcentral lists this ribosomal RNA (621 nucleotides) under Streptomyces griseoflavus. Its description in RNAcentral is "bacterial SSU rRNA". It matches the Rfam family "Bacterial small subunit ribosomal RNA", at positions 243 to 873 of the family's 1533-position model. The record is from RNAcentral. Lineage: Bacteria; Bacillati; Actinomycetota; Actinomycetes; Kitasatosporales; Streptomycetaceae.
UACUUGUUGGUGAGGUAAUGGCUCACCAAGGCGACGACGGGUAGCCGGCCUGAGAGGGCGACCGGCCACACUGGGACUGAGACACGGCCCAGACUCCUACGGGAGGCAGCAGUGGGGAAUAUUGCACAAUGGGCGAAAGCCUGAUGCAGCGACGCCGCGUGAGGGAUGACGGCCUUCGGGUUGUAAACCUCUUUCAGCAGGGAAGAAGCGAAAGUGACGGUACCUGCAGAAGAAGCGCCGGCUAACUACGUGCCAGCAGCCGCGGUAAUACGUAGGGCGCGAGCGUUGUCCGGAAUUAUUGGGCGUAAAGAGCUCGUAGGCGGCUUGUCACGUCGGUUGUGAAAGCCCGGGGCUUAACCCCGGGUCUGCAGUCGAUACGGGCAGGCUAGAGUUCGGUAGGGGAGAUCGGAAUUCCUGGUGUAGCGGUGAAAUGCGCAGAUAUCAGGAGGAACACCGGUGGCGAAGGCGGAUCUCUGGGCCGAUACUGACGCUGAGGAGCGAAAGCGUGGGGAGCGAACAGGAUUAGAUACCCUGGUAGUCCACGCCGUAAACGGUGGGCACUAGGUGUGGGCGACAUUCCACGUCGUCCGUGCCGCAGCUAACGCAUUAAGUGCCCCGCUG